GACAGAGCGGUUGUCGAAGCCGGCCAAAAAUAACCUUUCUGGUUAUCAACAAUUUACAACUGCAGAUAGUGGUGAAAGGAUCGAAUCCACAGAGAAUUGAUUACCUAUUUAUUUUUCUCAACAAGACCAAUAAAAUUAACUAAAACAAUGAGAUAAACAAAAAAAUGAGAUAAAAACUGAAAGUGGGAUCAAAUGAGAUAAACUGAAAGCUGAAUAAAAAUAAAUUGCAGUAAAAGUAAAAUGGGGGGUUUUGAGAUUGAUUGUAGUAACUAAUAAUGAGAAUAAUAAUAGAAAGCAAAUAAUUAAGUAAAAAGUAAUUAAUAAUGAGAAAGCUCUAGUUGAAAUAUUGGAUCAACUUUAGUUGUUGGGGUUGAUCACAGACACUUUGCUCUUUUGGGUUGACCCAAUAGAUUAGUUAUGGAGAUGGAAGACGCUUCUCACCACCAUUAUCUCUCCUUAGGAAUAAAUUAAUUAGGUAACGUCCUCUAAUUAAUUACUAAUUAACAAAUUGCCAAGGAACGUCCUUGGGCUUUAGGCAUCAAAACAAUUGUCAAUUGCAUUAAGAAAGAGAGACCCAAUCCUAGCUACCCAAACGUAUGGAGAUAACGCUAGAUCAUGCAAUUUUCUUGGAUUCUAUCCCAAGUGUCCUCAUGUAAGAAUAACCCAAGCAAUUACGGACUUAAAUUAUUCAAACUAAUGAAUAAUUAUUUUGCAAUAAAAAAAAUCAACGUAGAUUUCAAUUACAAAAUAAUAUGAAGAUUAAAUAUGAAAUUGCAUAAAUAUUGAAUUCCCAAAAAUUAAAUAAUAUUUGAUCAAGUCUCACAACCCAUUAACCAACUAAAGUUUCAACCAAUAUUCAACUAAAUGAAGAAAUUAGCCACUCAUUGGCUAAAUUAAAAAUAGAAAAUAAAUAAAGGGGAAAAGAAAAUAAAAACCGAAAAUCUGGAAUUCUUCUGCCCAGCUGCGGAACUUGCCAAAGGAAAGGAAUUCUCCGUUCUCCGUUCUCCCCAAUUCGGCCACUGAAGGCUCUAUUUAUAAGUGCAGAGGAGGUGUGCUAUUUAGGAAAAUUGCUUGCCUGGGAGUGAAUCGGGUGCGCGAAUGUCCACGUGAAGCUGGGGUGUGGAGCAUGGGUUGAAGGCGCGGGUCUUGCGCGCGGGUGGAUCCUCGUCUAUGUGAAGGAGUGGCGACGUCCACGGGCUGUCUGUGUGCAUGGGACUGGGCUGCCAGGUGUGCGAAGGUUGCGUGAAGGGAUGCACGGGCCCAUGCUGGUGGAGUGACGUGAGGCGCUUUGGCGGUGCGGGCCACGGCGAAGUGGACGUGUGGAGCGCGGCCCAUGUGAUGGUGUGGAGAAGGCGCGGGAGCUUGCAUGGAGCGGUCCACGUGCUUGUUGGUGGGUCCGUCGCGUGAGAUGCGCUUGGCCCACGUGAAGUGAAGUGUAGGAUUGUGUUGUGUGGGCCACGGUGGAGUGAGUUGCUGAAACACGGUCCAUGUGAGAGAAUGGCUUCAGCCCAAGCGUGUUGGCGGAAUGGGCCGUCCGUUUCCUCUUGUGCGGGGCGUGGGCCUGUGCGUUGGUGGGCUGUCCAAGCUUGAAUAUUUAAGCCUCAAAUUAUUUUUCUUUUAUUUAGCUUGAAUCCAGUUUUGCAGGUUUACUCUAUUUUGCUCCAAAUAAGGCAGUUUUAGGGGGAUUUUCUCCAAAAUAUCCUUUUACACCAUUUUCUGCAAAAUAAUAUUAAAAACAAUAAAUUAAGCAGAAAUUAUAUAAAUAUUUAUCAAUAAUAUUAAUAUAAAAUGGACUAAAUUAUGCUCUAUCAAAUACCCCCACACUUAACCUUUUGCUUGUCCUCAAGCAAAUAAACAUAGUCAAAUAAGCUUUCUCACUCUAGAUCCUUAUUUCCACUUAAGCUCUUACUCUAGAUACCUAUUUUGAAGCAUUGCAGUGAAGAAUAUAUGCAUGAAGAUUACUCACCUCCUUUCCUCGUUUCUCUUUGCUUACCAUGGCUAGGAUUUGUUUUCCUCAAGAGAGACCAUACAUGCACAUUAUUUGUUAAGACUUUUUCCAGCUUUUGGUGUGACUUGCCCUUACCUUGAAGUACUUUAUUCAGGCUUUUGCACUUUAGAUCUUGGAAAGGUCACCAACCUAUUUUUGAUGUAACACUUUUUGAUAUUUCAGUUGGUCACCUAUCCAAGUGGCCACUAGCUCUGUUCAUAGUCUUUCGACCAUUGGAACAAUCUUAGAUUUGUGCUUUUGAGGUCUUUGCCUUUGCUGAAUUUUCUUUCUCUCAAUGAUUUGGGCAAAUCAACACCUAUUGCUAAAGCAAGUCACUUUAAGUUCAUUCACACAAAUUUCAGAUUUUUCUCAUCAAUUGAGGGGCAUCAAUAUAUUUUUCACCAUGGCAAACUCAAAGAUUCAAUUCAAAAGGCAAUUCUCAAACAUGAAUAUAACCCACUGCAAGUGAUUCAACAUAAGUUUAAAGAGUCAUAACAUCAAUGGGGUCAUGGAAGGAAAGACUCAUUCAACAAAGUUCAUCAGUUUGAGUAGAACAAAACAAAAAAGAAGAAGAUGGUUGUGGUUGUGUGUGUUUUAUUGAAAGCAUAAAAAUAACAAAAAUGAAAAAUUUUUCCUAAUGCAAGCAAACUAAAGAUUAAAGCAAAAAUAAACUUAAAAGUAAAAAUUCAGAGUUAUGCACCCCCACACCUAAAUCAUGCAUUGUCCUCAAUGUAUAAGAAACAUAAAAGGACAAAGGAAACUGAGUACUCCCCUGGGUGUGGUGUGCAUGGCGAUCCACUUGAUCAAGACUCAAGUAAUUGGAGAAGGAAAAAGAGUCCCAACUGCAUUGAGCAAAAAGUGUAGUACUCCUUUUGAUUUUGUCAUAGCCCAUCCUACUUUUUCCAUGUAUUCAUGAAGUAACAUGAUUAGCUUUUGCUCUUUCAGAUGAGGUGUGCCUCUAGCUCUCAUAUUUGCUUUUUUGAGAUGAUUGGGAAACACUACGAACUCCAAUUCAUGUUUCUCCAUGUGUAGCUGCAAUUUAGUGCUAAAAUCUGGCGAAACAAACUCUACCUUAUCUGGAGGUUUGGGAAAGCAUUGAUCUGCAUGCUCCUUUGGUUUAGGUGCUUGGAACACCAUUUCUUCAUUGUGAGCAUGGGCUGUUUGCAUUGGAUCUAUGGCUGAAUUGAUUUCAGAUUGCUCCUUUUGCGCAAAAUCUGACUGAAAGGGGAGCUGAAGAGUAGUCGGAUUCGGCGUCUGAAAGGCAGUGAUGUUCGGCGGCCGAAGGAUGUCUGUAUUCGGCGGCCGAAGGUCUUCAGUAUGCGGAACAGGCUGUGGCGAGGGAUUCGACGUCGGCAGGUCAUUCAAGUUCGGCGGCCGAAGGAUGUUCGGCGGCCGAAGAGCGUCUUCUGUCUGCGCAAUGUGUUCUUGAAGUGGUGCAACAGAAUGAGAUAUUUGAAGCUCAGUGGGGUUCGGCGGCCGAAAGUGGUCUGUGUUCGGCGGCCGAAUGUCUUCUGUCUGCCCAACUUCAAUCUGCUGGAUGUUGCAGAUGGUUUCUUUCAAUUCUGGCUCUUUCUGACUUUCAUCAUCUUCUUGGCUAGCCUCCCUACAUGAAUCAUUGGUUAGAAUAUCAUCUUUUAUAUCAAAAAUACCUUUGCUCAGACAAUCAAUGAUAUUUUAAUUAUCAACAAGUUAUGUUUGAUCCGUUGGUUGGGACAAACAGUAUUCUGGUUGUGUUUCUUCAGCAACUCGAUCUUGCACUUGCCAACUUUCAUCAUCUAUCUCUUCAGCUUGAAGCUCUUCCUCUUUUCUUACCAUGUCUGCUCUCCAUUUGGCAGCUAUUCGAUCAGUUUCCUGUUGGACAUAUUGCAAAGUCUCCGUCAUCUCAUAAAGAUCAAUUCUGUGACUUUGAGGUAUUGCUUCAGCUUGAUAGUUUUUGUCAUAGCCAUAAUUCGGAUGAUCUCCCCAACAUGGAUUGUAAGUGUCAAGGCGGAGUUGUUGUUCUUCAAAAGCUCGUUCAGCUUGGUCUAUAAUAAAACUUUUUGCAGCAUCGAUUUUUUCAUAAAGUUGACAAAGGAAAAAAGGUAUACUUACCUCGUCCAUGAUUCAGAUAUGGUCAUGAAAGAAAAAUAAACAAGUAAAAUCAAUUCCCCGGCAACGGCGCCAAUUUUUGACAGAGCGGUUGUCGAAGCCGGCCAAAAAUAACCUUUCUAGUUAUCAACAAUUUACAACUGCAGAUAGUGGUGAAAGGAUCGAAUCCACAGAGAAUUGAUUACCUAUUUAUUUUUCUCAACAAGACCAAUAAAAUUAACUGAAACAAUGAGAUAAACAAAAAAAUGAGAUAAAAACUGAAAGUGGGAUCAAAUGAGAUAAACUGAAAGCUGAAU
Molecule: long non-coding RNA, 4371 nt
Filed under: Manihot esculenta (cassava)
Lineage: Eukaryota; Viridiplantae; Streptophyta; Magnoliopsida; Malpighiales; Euphorbiaceae
Description: long non-coding RNA (MESC_LNC012422)
Source: RNAcentral